AAGAAAGUAAUAAAGGGCGUAUGGGGGAUGCCUAGGCUCUUGGAGGCGACGAAAGACGUGGUAAGCUGCGAUAAGCCUCGGGGAUUUGCAAACGAGAAUUGAUCCGAGGAUUUCUGAAUGGGACAACCCGCUAGGCAGAAGGCCUAGCACACGAAAGUGGGCCAACCCUCUGAACUGAAACAUCUUAGUAGGAGGAGGAAAAGAAAGAAACAUCGAUUUCCUAAGUAGCGGCGAGCGAACGGGAAGAAGCCUAAACCAUACUUGUUACGGCAAUUAUGGGGUUGUAGGACUGCAAUAUUCAAGUGACUGUCAACUGGAAUGUUCUGGAAAGUUCAUCCGCAGAGAGUGAAAGACUCGUACAGGUAAGCACGUUAUGCGAUAGCAGUAUCCUGAGUAGGGCGGGACACGAGGAAUCCUGUCUGAAUCUGCCGGGACCACCCGGUAAGGCUAAAUACUCCCAAGAGACCGAUAGUGAACCAGUACCGUGAGGGAAAGGUGAAAAGAACCCCGAACAGGGGAGUGAAAUAGAACCUGAAACCAUACGCUUACAACCUGUCGGAGCAGCUUCGUGCUGUGACGGCGUGCCUAUUGAAUAAUGAGCCUACGAGUUACUAAUCACUGGCGAGGUUAAGUGCACGGAUGCACGGAGCCGAAGCGAAAGCGAGUCUUAAUAGGGCGUUUAGUCAGUGGUUGUAGACGCGAAACCUUGCGAUCUACCCUUGAGCAGGUUGAAGGUUGGGUAAAACCAACUGGAGGACCGAACGAAUAAGCGUUGAAAAGCUUCUCGAUGACUUGAGGGUAGGGGUGAAAGGCUAAUCAAGCUGGGAAAUAGCUCGUACUCCCCGAAAUGCCUUUAGGGGCAGCGUUGUAAUAAAGAGUCUACUGGAGGUAGAGCUACUGAUUGGAUGCGGGGGCUUCACCGCCUACCAAAUCCUGACAAACUCCGAAUGCCAGUAGUAUGAUUUACAGCAGUGAGCGACCGGGUGCUAAUGUCCGGUCACAAAAGAGGAACAACUCAGACCAGCAACUAAGGUCCCCAAGAGUAUACUAAGUUGAUCUAACGAUGUUUUGUUGCAGAGACAGCUAGGAUGUUAGCUUGGAAGCAGCUAUUCAUUCAAAGAGUGCGUAACAGCUCACUAGUCGAGCGACAAAGCGUGGAUAAUAAACGGGCAUCAAGUAUACCACCGAAGUUCUGGGCACGAAAGUGCGGUAGGGGAGCAUUCCAUUCAGCGUCGAAGCCGAAUCGUGAGAUUUGGUGGAGCGUAUGGAAAAGCAAAUGUAGGCAUGAGUAACGAUAAUGCGGGAGAGUAACCCGCACACCGCAAGACCAAGGUUUCCUGAUCAACGCUAAUCGGAUCAGGGUUAGUCGGGUCCUAAGGGUAAGCCGAACGGUGAUCUCGAUGGAUAAUCGGUUAAUAUUCCGAUACUGACAUAUACCUCGAUGGAGAGACGAAGGAACGUAAGUGCCGCCGCCUGACGGAAUAGGUGGUUAAAGGGCGUAGGUAUAGGGACAGAUUAAGAGUUAGUCCUUGCUGAACCCCGACAGUACAGAGAGCCUACGGGCAAUUUGAUAGUGCACCCAAGUCGACUUCCGAGAAAAUCUUCUAAGUUAUAGUAUAUGUCACCCGUACCGUAAACCGACACAGGUGGUCGAGGAGAGUAUCCUAAGGUGCUCGAGUGAAUCACGGUUAAGGAACUAGGCAAAUUAACCCCGUAACUUCGGGAAAAGGGGUCCCACCGCGAGGUGGGCGCAGCGAAGAGGUCCAGGCGACUGUUUAUCAAAAACACAGGGCUCUGCAAAUUCGAAAGAAGACGUAUAGGGCCUGACACCUGCCCGGUGCUGGAAGGUUAAGAGGGGAUGUCAUCGCAAGAGAAGCAUUGAAUCGAAGCCCCAGUAAACGGCGGCCGUAACUAUAACGGUCCUAAGGUAGCGAAAUUCCUUGUCGGGUAAGUUCCGACCUGCACGAAUGGUGUAACGAUCUGGACACUGUCUCAACCGUGAGCUCGGUGAAAUUGUAGUCCCGGUGAUGAUGCCGGGUACCCGCAACGGGACGAAAAGACCCCGUG
This 2067-nucleotide ribosomal RNA is filed under the name Akkermansia muciniphila. RNAcentral describes it as "partial 23S ribosomal RNA". It matches the Rfam family "Bacterial large subunit ribosomal RNA", at positions 1 to 2095 of the family's 2925-position model. Lineage: Bacteria; Pseudomonadati; Verrucomicrobiota; Verrucomicrobiia; Verrucomicrobiales; Akkermansiaceae. The record is from RNAcentral.